This 337-nucleotide unclassified non-coding RNA is filed under the name soil metagenome. RNAcentral describes it as "partial contains 5.8S ribosomal RNA, internal transcribed spacer 2, and large subunit ribosomal RNA". The stretch from base 1 to 120 matches the Rfam family "5.8S ribosomal RNA", at positions 35 to 154 of the family's 154-position model. The record is from RNAcentral.
GAUGAAGAACGUAGCGAAAUGCGAUAAGUAAUGUGAAUUGCAGAAUUCAGUGAAUCAUCGAAUCUUUGAACGCACAUUGCGCCCCUUGGUAUUCCGAGGGGCAUGCCUGUUCGAGCGUCAUUACACCACUCAAGCUAUGCUUGGUAUUGGGCGUCGUCCUUAGUUGGGCGCGCCUUAAAGACCUCGGCGAGGCCACUCCGGCUUUAGGCGUAGUAGAAUUCAUUCGAACGUCUGUCAAAGGAGAGGAACUCUGCCGACUGAAACCUUUAUUUUUCUAGGUUGACCUCGGAUCAGGUAGGGAUACCCGCUGAACUUAAGCAUAUCAAUAAGCGGAGGA